GAUGAACGCUGACAGAAUGCUUAACACAUGCAAGUCUACUUGAAUUUGGGUUUUUUAACUUCGAUUUGGGUGGCGGACGGGUGAGUAACGCGUAAAGAACUUGCCUCACAGCUAGGGACAACAUUUGGAAACGAAUGCUAAUACCUGAUAUUAUGAUUAUAAGGCAUCUUAGAAUUAUGAAAGCUAUAUGCGCUGUGAGAGAGCUUUGCGUCCCAUUAGCUAGUUGGAGAGGUAACGGCUCACCAAGGCGAUGAUGGGUAGCCGGCCUGAGAGGGUGAACGGCCACAAGGGGACUGAGACACGGCCCUUACUCCUACGGGAGGCAGCAGUGGGGAAUAUUGGACAAUGGACCAAGAGUCUGAUCCAGCAAUUCUGUGUGCACGAUGACGUUUUUCGGAAUGUAAAGUGCUUUCAGUUGGGAAGAAAAAAAUGACGGUACCAACAGAAGAAGUGACGGCUAAAUACGUG
RNAcentral lists this ribosomal RNA (468 nucleotides) under uncultured bacterium. RNAcentral's name for it is "partial 16S ribosomal RNA". It matches the Rfam family "Bacterial small subunit ribosomal RNA", at positions 28 to 507 of the family's 1533-position model. The record is from RNAcentral.